RNAcentral lists this ribosomal RNA (610 nucleotides) under uncultured Acetobacter sp. RNAcentral's name for it is "bacterial SSU rRNA". It matches the Rfam family "Bacterial small subunit ribosomal RNA", at positions 46 to 697 of the family's 1533-position model. The record is from RNAcentral. Lineage: Bacteria; Pseudomonadati; Pseudomonadota; Alphaproteobacteria; Acetobacterales; Acetobacteraceae.
GCUUAACACAUGCAAGUUGCACGGACCCUUCGGGGUUAGUGGCGCACGGGUGAGUAACACGUAGGAAUCUGUCUUGNGGUGGGGGAUAACUCCGGGAAACUGGAGCUAAUACCGCAUGAUAACUGAGGUUCAAAGGUCGCAAGACCGCCUUGAGAGGGGCCUGCGUUCGAUUAGUUAGUUGGUGGGGUAAUGGCCUACCAAGACGAUGAUCGAUAGCUGGUUUGAGAGGAUGAUCAGCCACACUGGGACUGAGACACGGCCCAGACUCCUACGGGAGGCAGCAGUGGGGAAUAUUGGACAAUGGGGGCAACCCUGAUCCAGCAAUGCCGCGUAUGUGAAGAAGGUCUUCGGAUUGUAAAACACUUUCGUUGGGGACGAUGAUGACGGUACCCAAAGAAGAAGCCCCGGCUAACUUCGUGCCAGCAGCCGCGGUAAUACNAAGGGGGCGAGCGUUACUCGGAAUAACUGGGCGUAAAGGGCGCGUAGGCGGCCGAUAGCUGUCANAUGUGAAAUUUUUGGGCUCAACCCGAAAACUGCNUUUGAUACNUAUUGGCUAGAGUGCGAGAGAGGAUUGCGGAAUUCCCAGUGUAGAGGUGAAAUUCGUAGAUAU